RNAcentral lists this ribosomal RNA (492 nucleotides) under uncultured bacterium. RNAcentral describes it as "partial 16S ribosomal RNA". It matches the Rfam family "Bacterial small subunit ribosomal RNA", at positions 29 to 507 of the family's 1533-position model. The record is from RNAcentral.
AGUGAACGCUGGCGGUAGGCCUAACACAUGCAAGUCGAACGGCAGCACAGUAAGAGCUUGCUCUUACGGGUGGCGAGUGGCGGACGGGUGAGGAAUACAUCGGAAUCUACUUUUUCGUGGGGGGUAACGUAGGGAAACUUACGCUAAUACCGCAUACGACCUACGGGUGAAAGCAGGGGAUCUUCGGACCUUGCGCGAUUGAAUGAGCCGAUGUCGGAUUAGCUAGUUGGCGGGGUAAAGGCCCACCAAGGCGACGAUCCGUAGCUGGUCUGAGAGGAUGAUCAGCCACACUGGAACUGAGACACGGUCCAGACUCCUACGGAAGGCAGCAGUGGGGAAUAUUGGACAAUGGGCGCAAGCCUGAUCCAGCCAUACCGCGUGGGUGAAGAAGGCCUUCGGGUUGUAAAGCCCUUUUGUUGGGAAAGAAAAGCAGCAGGUUAAUACCCCGCUGUUCUGACGGUACCCAAAGAAUAAGCACCGGCUAACUUCGUG